CUGGUUCCAUGUCCCUGCAAGCUCUUCACUACAAAUAGGACUCUAUGGCUUUGUUCAAGAUAACUGGGCACUAGCAGACAGAGCCACUUCGACUGCCUUUGGGGGAAAAUACUGCUGUGUGUGAGAGAAGCUUUUGCAGCGCUUCUGGAAGAAGGGAAAACCAGGAAGACUAUGGCUGUUAUCAGAAGUAAAAAUGCAAAAAUACUACAGCUCUGCUACCUAGCCUUAAAGGAAAGAAGAUUUAUUAUUGACAAAUAAACGGGUGAGAAGCACUAGUUGUUCCUUGUUACUUAUGCAACAGAACAAAAAGGCUGUACUGUUUAAGCUAGUGGCUACAUACAAAAGCAAACCCUAUCUACAUUGCAUAAUAUUGUUCAAAUUGUUUGAUGUAGAAGCUUUCUAGAGCAGUAACACUGCUAGAACACUCAAGCUUCGCAAAAUGUGCUUGAUUUUUCUUUGUACAACAAGGACAACCUUGAAGAGUGGCAAGAUAAGGCUGUACAGAGAAGCCACAAUUAUGGGAAGCAGGUAGCAAUUCGGAGGUUGGCUUUGCUGCCAGAAUGUCACCUCAGAGAUUAACACACCCUCUCAAAUGAGGUGAGGAAGGUCAAGAAGGAAAACAAUUAAGUUUAUUAAGGAAGAUUCUAAGUGGUAGGCUUGCAGCAACUGAAGUCAUUCCUAACUCAGGAAUUUCUUGUGGAUGAAGACACAUAUUUGGUAUAUCUAGCAUAUAUAAUUACUCAAAGUAAUUGACUAAGGUAAUUUAUUGCCCAACAGUGAUAUGCUCCUAACAAUACACAGUAAACUGGAAACCUCUUCAUUUACAUCGGGCAACACUCCCAGCAUCCAGAAGAAAGACACCUCUGUAAUAGCUGCACCAGGAGCUUUUUACGCUGUGCAGCCCAAAAGCCACGGAUGACCUAGAUACUGGUGCUGCAAGAUGCACCGAUGCUUCCUGAUGCCUUUAGUGUUGUCUCGCUCGACACUGCAGUGCAAGGAACUUCAAUCACCGCGGCGGAAAAUCUGCUCUGCCGGCUGCAGGAGAAUUUUCAGGCUCUGACGGAAAAGUUAACGCUGAGAAAUAUCCUCUUUGGAACGUGGGGUACCCGAGGUUGGAUUUCGGACCCCGUGGCUGGGGCCCCCUGGGCGCUGAUGGGUGCGGGCGGGGUCCUUGCUUCUAACAGGGGAUGGGCUUCUUUCUUAAACAUCAAAUUAGCGUAG
Molecule: long non-coding RNA, 1221 nt
Filed under: Cyanistes caeruleus (blue tit)
Lineage: Eukaryota; Metazoa; Chordata; Aves; Passeriformes; Paridae
Description: lncRNA (ENSCCEG00000017651.1)
Source: RNAcentral